UUUCGGGUCAUGAAUGCGUUGGCCGGCUUAAACUCCUAACCUGCUCGGAAGAGUUGGAGCGAGCUUGCGAUCAAGGAUUUAGUGAAGGGGAAGGCGAGAGACUAUGGGAUGGAAGGCUGCGGAGAAGUUGAUAACAAAAUGGAAGAUCUUGAGAGGAGAUAACGUGAUGAUCAUAAGAGGCAAAGACAAGGGCGAAACGGGCACCAUCAAGCGUGUUAUUCGUUCCCAAAACCGUGUUAUUGUCGAAGGGCAAAAUCUGGUAAAGAAGCAUGUCAAACAAGGGCAAGGACAUGAAGGAGGGAUAUUCACAGUUGAAGCUCCACUUCAUGUCUCAAAUGUUCAAGUUAUUGAUCCAGUAACUGGGAGGCCUUGUAAAAUUGGUUACCGGUUUAUGGAAGAUGGAAGCAAGGUAAGAAUUUCUAGAGGACGAGAAGCUUCAGGUUCUGUAAUCCCCCGCCCUGAGAUACUUAAAAUGAGGAGAAAGCCACGACCUAUAGAACAUUGUGAAUUUCUAAGCUUCUGAUGCCUACUGGCUCAAAAUUGCUUGAACUGAGGUUUUAGACUUGUCAUGAUGCUAGGUUGUUUGGUAGCUGGCCCAAAAGACACCCCUAUUGAUGUUGUGCUUGAGAAAACUUAUGAUGCAAAGGUUGGGAUUGGCAUGCCAGAUCUGUAGACGAUUCAGCAGUAGUUGCUCCUGUUCAGUCCUGCUUGCCUGUAGACUAACCUUAAUUUUUGGGAUUUAAAUUACUCACUUUAUCUUAUUUUAACUGUUUAUUAAAAGAAAUAAAAAAAAACUUUCUUAUGCUUUAGAUGUAAGCUGGGCAUCACUUUCUGGAUGCAAUUUGAGCUUUAAAAGAACUUUCAUGCA
Dendrobium catenatum is the source of this 868-nucleotide RNA transcript. It is a transcript of the gene named 50S ribosomal protein L24, with no coding region annotated. The transcript is spliced from 6 exons. Lineage: Eukaryota; Viridiplantae; Streptophyta; Magnoliopsida; Asparagales; Orchidaceae. The record is from RefSeq and is a predicted model, not a curated record.